Molecule: long non-coding RNA, 554 nt
Filed under: Bos taurus (domestic cattle)
Lineage: Eukaryota; Metazoa; Chordata; Mammalia; Artiodactyla; Bovidae
Description: long non-coding RNA NONBTAT020479
Source: RNAcentral
CAAGUUUAUCCCCAACUUAUUUGCCUUUUAUUCUUCAUUUUAGUUAAUUACAUUUUCACCAUUUAUCUUCAAGGUUAUGCAUGCACCUUGAGAUGGUCACAAAAGGUCCGUGAUAUAGGGGUUCAUAAUUAGGUUGUAUGUUAUAUUCAGAGUCCCAGGGGAACUAAUAGAUUCCAGAAAUACUGAUUAAGCAAGAUGAAUUCUUAUACAGUUUCAACUACAACAGUUUUAAAGACAAGUACAAGCUUCUUUGCCACAAAAUUCACAAAAAAAGUAAUCGAUUGAAGAAUAUCUCUUUUAUGCAAAAUAUACAUUUUAGGAUAUAAUUCAAUUCAUAUUCUACUAUACACUGACAUUGUUCUUGAUAAUUUAAUAAAAAAAUACUCUCAUUGCCAGCCAACAAAGGAGAACCAAAGGAAAUUAAGACAGACCUAUAGUAUACCAAUAUCACUGCUCGUAUGAUCACAGCACAAUCUACUGCAGGUCCACAGAGGGUAAUUCACAGAGGGGCGGGCCUUACUUGAAGCUCCAGAGACGCUGAUCAUGACUCUGGC